UUGGCUGUGCAGAGGAUGCGGGCUAAGC
Molecule: small RNA, 28 nt
Filed under: Bombyx mori (domestic silkworm)
Lineage: Eukaryota; Metazoa; Arthropoda; Insecta; Lepidoptera; Bombycidae
Description: ovarian small RNA-38022
Source: RNAcentral